UCCGUAGGUGACCUGCGGAAGGAUCAUUACCUAGAGUUUGUAGACUUCGGUCUGCUACCUCUUACCCAUGUCUUUUGAGUACCUUCGUUUCCUCGGCGGGUCCGCCCGCCGAUUGGACAACAUUCAAACCCUUUGCAGUUGCAAUCAGCGUCUGAAAAAACAUAAUAGUUACAACUUUCAACAACGGAUCUCUUGGUUCUGGCAUCGAUGAAGAACGCAGCGAAAUGCGAUAAGUAGUGUGAAUUGCAGAAUUCAGUGAAUCAUCGAAUCUUUGAACGCACAUUGCGCCCCUUGGUAUUCCAUGGGGCAUGCCUGUUCGAGCGUCAUUUGUACCUUCAAGCUCUGCUUGGUGUUGGGUGUUUGUCUCGCCUCUGCGUGUAGACUCGCCUUAAAACAAUUGGCAGCCGGCGUAUUGAUUUCGGAGCGCAGUACAUCUCGCGCUUUGCACUCACAACGACGACGUCCAAAAGUACAUUUUUACACUCUUGACCUCGGAUCAGGUAGGGAUACCCGCUGAACUUAAGCAUAUCAAUAAGCGGAGGA
Molecule: ribosomal RNA, 543 nt
Filed under: Epicoccum nigrum
Lineage: Eukaryota; Fungi; Ascomycota; Dothideomycetes; Pleosporales; Didymellaceae
Description: eukaryotic LSU rRNA
Rfam family: 5.8S ribosomal RNA (bases 173-326)
Source: RNAcentral